Long non-coding RNA from Mya arenaria, 1610 nucleotides. RefSeq lists it as uncharacterized. The transcript has 3 exons. NCBI's taxonomy places the organism in Eukaryota, Metazoa, Mollusca, Bivalvia, Myida, Myidae. The record is from RefSeq and is a predicted model, not a curated record.
GGCGAUACGUUCAAAGGAUGCAUGAGUUCCGGCACUGAGGGCCAGCUGCUAUGUAGGAUGUUACAGGUGGCGUUCAGGAGAGGUCUGAUGUUCAACUUGGGAAAGGAAGGAAAGGUUGUCCUGGAUGGCAUUUCAUUGCAUGAAGGAUCAGUGUAUGACCUUGAUUGGUGGGAUUACGCUAAAUACAUACGUACCUUAAAAGCGGAACUGGCUGCCAAAGGUAUCACAGAGGCGAUCAUAGAUCAGACAGAGAAGUUGGAAGAGACUUUUGCUGUCGAUGGUUUAUCUUUGCUGGAAGCUGCACGGAGUUCUUAAAGGUGCGGACAGUGGAGUUGACAGGUGUAUAACAGAGAUGUGUGUACGUUCUAAAGGACUCUUAAAACAGACGUUUAUGGUUGAUUGUUCAUGAUUUUCCUUUUGUAACUAUUGUUGAUAUAUAUAAAACGUAUUAUAGAGCGUUGUUUUCUUAUACUGAUAUCAUAUAAGGCUAACUAUAGUUUAUCUCGGUGAACAAUUAUUGUGUUUUUGAGAGUAUUGUAUUUUCAAAUGUUCAGACUAGUAAGUUAAAUGAGAAGGUAAAAUGGAAGCAAAAUGUCGUAGUGUAUAUACUAUAGUUUAUAAAGUGUACUCCCAGCGAUUUCGGUAGCGUUUUUUAAUAAAUAUCUUAAUUAACAUGUAUACAUGAUAACACUAAUAAUCACAAGUUGCUUUUGUCUAUUUUGUAAUUAUAAACGUCUUUCGAAAGUAAGCAAAGAGUUUUUUUUUGUAAUUUAAGUCUCACACGUUUGUAAAUAUGUAUUUCCUUUUAAGUGCAACCGGCAAAAAAACUAACUUCCAUGCAGACGUAUAGAUAUGCACUGCUUUGCUGUUGAGCUAUAUAUAAGUCUCGGAUAUAAUCGUUUUAAAAUGUAUUUUUCCAAUGUGUAGCAGCAUUACGCAAAAAUAUUAAUAUAUAUUGUUUCAAUUUCCAAUUUAGCAUUUUGUUACGACUUCGUGGUCUAUAAUAUUACGUAUUGUAGUUCUUAAAUAUCAUAAUAAUUUUAAAUAAUAUAUAAUAGUACUGCAGAAUAAGAUUUUGUUAAAAUAUUUGCAUACUUAGACCUAGUGUAUGGACAAUUACUCAUACUUCACCGACAGUGCCAUGUCGGUUACAAUGUUUACAAAUGACUGUAUUGUGAUAGUUGUGUACUGUUUGUUGUCUUUCAGCGUUAUACAUACUCUGCUUGGUAUUUGUUUUUUCGUUGAUCUGUAAUACUUUAAACACGGUAUAGGUAACAUAUAAAGCUACUUGGCCGGUCUUGAUGUUACCACUUUAUCUUUUAAACGAUUGCAAGUCAAUUUAGAGGUAGCGUUAGCAAUUUCAAUUAAUAAAUAGCUUACUAUUAUGUAGAUUUAAAUAAAAGCGGUCAAAUGGCUAUAAAGCAAGAUAGAAAACAACAAAAAUCAAAACAACAACAACAACAUUAAUUAGCAUGCACUUUAUCAUAGUCUUUACCUUGUAUCCUAUCUUGUAUUGUAAACUGUGGUUUAGGUAGCGCUGCGAGGUGAUGGUCCGUUCUGACCUAACAUCAUGUGUUACUAUGAGAAUUAUAAACAAUGAUUUGUAUUGA